UAAGCGACUAAGCGUACACGGUGGAUGCCCUGGCAGUCAGAGGCGAUGAAGGACGUGCUAAUCUGCGAAAAGCGUCGGUAAGGUGAUAUGAACCGUUAUAACCGGCGAUGUCCGAAUGGGGAAACCCAGUGCAAUUCGUUGCACUAUCGUUAACUGAAUACAUAGGUUAACGAGGCGAACCGGGGGAACUGAAACAUCUAAGUACCCCGAGGAAAAGAAAUCAACCGAGAUUCCCCCAGUAGCGGCGAGCGAACGGGGAGCAGCCCAGAGUCUGAAUCAGCUUGUGUGUUAGUGGAACGGUCUGGAAAGUCCGACGGUACAGGGUGAUAGUCCCGUACACCAAAAUGCACAGGUUGUGAACUCGAAGAGUAGGGCGGGACACGUGGUAUCCUGUCUGAAUAUGGGGGGACCAUCCUCCAAGGCUAAAUACUCCUGACUGACCGAUAGUGAACCAGUACCGUGAGGGAAAGGCGAAAAGAACCCCGGCGAGGGGAGUGAAAAAGAACCUGAAACCGUGUACGUACAAGCAGUGGGAGCACCUUCGGGUGUGACUGCGUACCUUUUGUAUAAUGGGUCAGCGACUUAUAUUCUGUAGCAAGGUUAACCGUAUAGGGGAGCCGCAGGGAAACCGAGUCUUAACUGGGCGUUAAGUUGCAGGGUAUAGACCCGAAACCCGGUGAUCUAGCCAUGGGCAGGUUGAAGGUUGGGUAACACUAACUGGAGGACCGAACCGACUAAUGUUGAAAAAUUAGCGGAUGACUUGUGGCUGGGGGUGAAAGGCCAAUCAAACCGGGAGAUAGCUGGUUCUCCCCGAAAGCUAUUUAGGUAGCGCCUCGUGAACUCAUCUUCGGGGGUAGAGCACUGUUUCGGCUAGGGGGUCAUCCCGACUUACCAACCCGAUGCAAACUACGAAUACCGAAGAAUGUUAUCACGGGAGACACACGGCGGGUGCUAACGUCCGUCGUGAAGAGGGAAACAACCCAGACCGCCAGCUAAGGUCCCAAAGUCACAGUUAAGUGGGAAACGAUGUGGGAAGGCACAGACAGCCAGGAUGUUGGCUUAGAAGCAGCCAUCAUUUAAAGAAAGCGUAAUAGCUCACUGGUCGAGUCGGCCUGCGCGGAAGAUGUAACGGGGCUAAACUGUGCACCGAAGCUGCGGCAGCGACACGAUGUGUUGUUGGGUAGGGGAGCGUUCUGUAAGCCUGCGAAGGUGGCCUGUGAGGGUUGCUGGAGGUAUCAGAAGUGCGAAUGCUGACAUAAGUAACGAUAAUGCGGGUGAAAAGCCCGCACGCCGGAAGACCAAGGGUUCCUGUCCAACGUUAAUCGGGGCAGGGUGAGUCGACCCCUAAGGCGAGGCCGAAAGGCGUAGUCGAUGGGAAACAGGUUAAUAUUCCUGUACUUGGUGUUACUGCGAAGGGGGGACGGAGAAGGCUAUGUUAGCCGGGCGACGGUUGUCCCGGUUUAAGCAUGUAGGCGGAGGUUCCAGGUAAAUCCGGUACCUUUUUAACGCUGAGGUGUGAUGACGAGGCACUACGGUGCUGAAGUAACAAAUGCCCUGCUUCCAGGAAAAGCCUCUAAGCAUCAGGUAACAUUAAAUCGUACCCCAAACCGACACAGGUGGUCAGGUAGAGAAUACCAAGGCGCUUGAGAGAACUCGGGUGAAGGAACUAGGCAAAAUGGUGCCGUAACUUCGGGAGAAGGCACGCUGAUAUGUAGGUGAAGCCCCUGCGGGUGGAGCUGAAAUCAGUCGAAGAUACCAGCUGGCUGCAACUGUUUAUUAAAAACACAGCACUGUGCAAACACGAAAGUGGACGUAUACGGUGUGACGCCUGCCCGGUGCCGGAAGGUUAAUUGAUGGGGUUAUCCGUAAGGAGAAGCUCUUGAUCGAAGCCCCGGUAAACGGCGGCCGUAACUAUAACGGUCCUAAGGUAGCGAAAUUCCUUGUCGGGUAAGUUCCGACCUGCACGAAUGGCGUAAUGAUGGCCAGGCUGUCUCCACCCGAGACUCAGUGAAAUUGAACUCGCUGUGAAGAUGCAGUGUACCCGCGGCAAGACGGAAAGACCCCGUGAACCUUUACUAUAGCUUGACACUGAACAUUGAGCCUUGAUGUGUAGGAUAGGUGGGAGGCUUUGAAGCGUGGACGCCAGUCUGCGUGGAGCCAACCUUGAAAUACCACCCUUUAAUGUUUGAUGUUCUAACGUUGGCCCCUUAUCGGGGUUGCGGACAGUGUCUGGUGGGUAGUUUGACUGGGGCGGUCUCCUCCCAAAGAGUAACGGAGGAGCACGAAGGUUAGCUAAUCCUGGUCGGACAUCAGGAGGUUAGUGCAAUGGCAUAAGCUAGCUUGACUGCGAGCGUGACGGCGCGAGCAGGUGCGAAAGCAGGUCAUAGUGAUCCGGUGGUUCUGAAUGGAAGGGCCAUCGCUCAACGGAUAAAAGGUACUCCGGGGAUAACAGGCUGAUACCGCCCAAGAGUUCAUAUCGACGGCGGUGUUUGGCACCUCGAUGUCGGCUCAUCACAUCCUGGGGCUGAAGUAGGUCCCAAGGGUAUGGCUGUUCGCCAUUUAAAGUGGUACGCGAGCUGGGUUUAGAACGUCGUGAGACAGUUCGGUCCCUAUCUGCCGUGGGCGCUGGAGAAUUGAGGGGGGCUGCUCCUAGUACGAGAGGACCGGAGUGGACGCAUCACUGGUGUUCGGGUUGUCAUGCCAAUGGCAUUGCCCGGUAGCUAAAUGCGGAAGAGAUAAGUGCUGAAAGCAUCUAAGCACGAAACUUGCCCCGAGAUGAGUUCUCCCUGAGACUUUAAGUCUCCUGAAGGAACGUUAAAGACGAUGACGUUGAUAGGUCGGGUGUGUAAGCGUAGCGAUACGUUGAGCUAACCGAUACUAAUGAACCGUGAGGCUUAACCU
Molecule: ribosomal RNA, 2901 nt
Filed under: Klebsiella aerogenes
Lineage: Bacteria; Pseudomonadati; Pseudomonadota; Gammaproteobacteria; Enterobacterales; Enterobacteriaceae
Description: bacterial LSU rRNA
Rfam family: Bacterial large subunit ribosomal RNA
Source: RNAcentral